UUACGACCAUAUCAGGUUGAGACACCUUUUCUCGUACAAUCACCGAAAUUAAGUAACGUUGAGCCUGAUUAGUAGCUUGAUGGGUGACCGUUUGGGAAUACCAGGUGCUGUAAG
Molecule: non-coding RNA, 114 nt
Organism: Acanthosepion pharaonis
Lineage: Eukaryota; Metazoa; Mollusca; Cephalopoda; Sepiida; Sepiidae
Source: the annotation of a GenBank genome assembly